UUAAAUUGAAGAGUUUGAUCAUGGCUCAGAUUGAACGCUGGCGGCAGGCCUAACACAUGCAAGUCGAACGGUAACAGGAAGCAGCUUGCUGCUUUGCUGACGAGUGGCGGACGGGUGAGUAAUGUCUGGGAAACUGCCUGAUGGAGGGGGAUAACUACUGGAAACGGUGGCUAAUACCGCAUAACGUCGCAAGACCAAAGAGGGGGACCUU
Molecule: ribosomal RNA, 211 nt
Filed under: Salmonella enterica
Lineage: Bacteria; Pseudomonadati; Pseudomonadota; Gammaproteobacteria; Enterobacterales; Enterobacteriaceae
Description: partial 16S ribosomal RNA
Rfam family: Bacterial small subunit ribosomal RNA
Source: RNAcentral